CUUCAAAUUGUGGUAAAAAUCUUUGUUCAUGUUUUUCUGAGUGUGCAAAAAAAAUCUCGGUAGGUCUAUACCACUUAUUAAUUCAUCAUAAUGAAGAGACUAGCCAAGUUAAGUUUUCAAGAUUGUCAUUCUCUCGAAAAGUUUUUGAAAAAUGGUUGAUAACUUUUUUAUAUGUUUAAUUUCCAUAGAGAAAAUAGCAAAAUCAUUUGAAAAACUUAUAGCAAACCAAAUGUUUCAUUAGGCUAUUUAAUAGUUUAUAAGCAUUUAAAACAAUUUGAGACGAUGGAACAGGCCAAUCCAAUAUCGUGAUUGAUGACCAGGGUUCCCCGGAUAGAUCGUGUCAAAAAUUAAAACUGUAUUUUACAUAUAUAUGGCGGCGUCACAGACCAGCAUAGUCAUCAUUGAAAAAAUCCUCUAAAGAAUAAAAACUCCUCCAAUGAGCCACCUUGAUAGGCGUGCUGAGAUAGCCUAUAUACCGGUACCGUAUUUCUCUUUUUUUUCUUUCUUGUUUGGAAACAUUAUUCUCAAUAAUCAUAGGUAAACCACAGAAUUACAAAUUAAUUGUAAUUACACAUAAUUAUAUGAGUUUUCUCUGAGGUAAACUAAUUAAUAAAGUUAGUGUAAUGAGUACUGGAGGUGCCCCGGAGCCGACUGGCGGGGAAUUACAAUAGCUUUCCUUCGCAGGCAAUAAGAUUUUUUAACAGCUUUCCUAGACCAAUUCAGGAAACACGGAACUCUUGGUUCUAUACAACUUUGAAAAAUAAACUCCUGGAAAAGCCACUCUACUCACUACAGGAGUUUUACAGUGAACCUCUUUUUAGGAGUCAAGCACCUCCACAGCGUGAAUGACCAUGUAGGUUAUUUUUAUUGAGAAUUCCGACACUGCCUAUCUGGAAACCCCAGUCAUUGGCAACGACCUCAAGUAUCAAUGAAUUCAAGCCAUAAAAUGGAUGAUCGUGAAAAACCUGUGCCCUAAAGAAGCUGCCAGCGGACUCCAACUGUUUGAAGGAAUGCACUGAUACUCUUGGAGUCUCAAUUUAUCAUACGGAGUCAUCAAUAACCGGAGAUACAAUCAGGAAGGAUCGGGAGACAGCCUUAGGGAUCUUUGGCUGUAGCACUAGGAAAUAUGCCUGAUAUUAUCGGUUCAUAUUGACCCACUCCCCGCGAUUACUAAAAUAAUAGCUGUCGUUUAAAUAAAUACCGUAAUGACGUUUUCUUCUUAGUGCUGGAAAUCAGCGAGUGGAAUCACUACCUCCGUAAACAAAGCCAUAGUGCAUUCUGGUGACGUCAGCACAGGUAGGGCUCCUACACCAAUAAAAAUUUAUUGAUUUCAGCUGAUCUAUAUCAGCUAGUGUUUUUAUUGGUGUAGGAGCCCUACCUGUGCUGACGUCACCAUCAACCACCUGACAUGCACUAUGGCUUUUGUAAGGGUGGGAAAAUGAAAAACAAGAAAAGAUUGUACAGGUUUUUGAUAUUAAAAACAAAUCAAUAAAUUAUUUUAUUACGAAAUUAGAAUUGUAAUUAGAAUUUAUUACGAAAUAAUAAUCAGAUGAAUAUUUCAGGGGCUACUCGCUUUGCUGAUCUGUGGUCGCUUAGUCUAUGAUAAUAAAAAAUAAACAAAGAUUACUAUUUAGAAUUAUAGAUCUGAAAAAAAUUCAAAAAAAAAUGUACAAUUAACUAUUAUCUUACUUUACCUUUACAAGAGUCCCUUGGCCUGCUCUUCAAGGUCCAGUUAAAACACUCCCGAAUUUAAAUUUAAAAUAUAUAUAUA
Molecule: long non-coding RNA, 1771 nt
Organism: Nilaparvata lugens (brown planthopper)
Lineage: Eukaryota; Metazoa; Arthropoda; Insecta; Hemiptera; Delphacidae
Exons: 3
Source: RefSeq, a predicted model, not a curated record